AGGUGUGAGGACUUUGCCAACACUGGCGAGACGGUGAGGUUUUAAUGGAGCUAACACACCUGGUGAAGUACCUUCUUCAAGCAUCAUUCUAUGGUAGGGAUUGAGGAAAAGAGAAGGCAGAUGGAUGGGUUGAUUUAGAUUUGGAGGUUUUCAGAAAGGGUGUGAUGGAAACAGAAAAAGGCAAUGGGAUUAAGAAUGAUUGGCACAAUGGACAAAAUCUAA
This is a long non-coding RNA of Pipistrellus kuhlii (Kuhl's pipistrelle), 222 nucleotides long. RefSeq lists it as uncharacterized. The record is from RefSeq and is a predicted model, not a curated record. The transcript is spliced from 2 exons. NCBI's taxonomy places the organism in Eukaryota, Metazoa, Chordata, Mammalia, Chiroptera, Vespertilionidae.